Molecule: non-coding RNA, 140 nt
Organism: Chelonoidis abingdonii (Abingdon island giant tortoise)
Lineage: Eukaryota; Metazoa; Chordata; Testudines; Testudinidae
Source: RefSeq, a predicted model, not a curated record
ACUACCGAUCAGUUGCUAACCAGUUUGGAGUGGGAAAGUCGACCGUUGGAAUCGUGUUGAUGCAAGUUUGCAGGGCCGUUAAUCAUAUCCUGCUCAGAAGAAUCAUGACUCUGGGUAAUGUGUGGGACAUUGUGGAUGGC